AUUAUUACUUUAUAAAUCCCUGAAUGUCUACUGCUCCUCUCCUGUUAACUUUAAAAGGAAAUGUCAGUUAUUUUACCAGCAAAAAUGGGUUAAUUUGGGAAUAGCAGAGACUAGCAACAGUUUGAGACAAGCAAGCUUGCUUAAAACCAUAGGCAUGUCUGGAGAACAACGCAGAAGAUUGCUCUUUAAUAGAGGAGAAAGCUGAGUUGGGAGGGCUGUUCUAAGCAAAAAAGCGCAUUGGAGGAAACUGGAAGUUCCAUGUAUCAUGGCUUCUCAUUGGCUGAGUUGUGACAGCUGGGCUGUUGGGGGGAGGCACAAGAUGGAAAUCUUCCUUCCUCCUGCUGGACUGUGAAGUAGCUAAAACAACUGGACUUGCAGGGUGUCUGUCUCUUCCUGUGAAGUCAGUAACUGAGGAGUGGUGGGACGCAAGAGCUUCCCCUACUGGCCUGCUGAUGCCAUGUCGGAAUAUACUCCCAAAAGCGGAAUUGCUGGGCUAUAGAAGAGUCUGAGAUGUUCUUUAGGAGAUCUUCCACCUGGGGCAAGUUUCCUUCUGCCAGAGGCAGAUCCUUCAGUGUGUGUCUGCUGGGAGCAAACGAGUUUUUGUCUAAAAAUGUCUAUUUCAACUCCACUCUGCAAAGAUGUCCUUAGUGGUUUCAGCAGUUUCACUGCAUGGGUUUAGGCGUGGAAAUUCUCUAUUUGCUGCUCCCUCUCUCUCUCCCCCUGAGUCCUUCCUAGAAGGGGCUGGCCCCCUCUCUGGAACGUGAUGUGCCCACGCACGCCUGGAGAACCUUCCCAAGGGUCUGCGG
Non-coding RNA from Manis javanica (Malayan pangolin), 806 nucleotides. The record is from RefSeq and is a predicted model, not a curated record. NCBI's taxonomy places the organism in Eukaryota, Metazoa, Chordata, Mammalia, Pholidota, Manidae.